This is an RNA transcript of Hirundo rustica (Barn swallow), 3747 nucleotides long. RefSeq lists it as uncharacterized. The record is from RefSeq and is a predicted model, not a curated record. Lineage: Eukaryota; Metazoa; Chordata; Aves; Passeriformes; Hirundinidae. The transcript has 3 exons.
CCCCCCCUGCCGCCGCUCGGCGACCAAGACAUCCUGACACAAUCACGGGGCUCCUUUGAAAACUGCAUCGAGUAAUUUAGCACUUGGGGAGGGAGGAAUUAUAUCCGUUUGAAAAGAAACCUCACACACGCAGAACCUCCAAAACGAUCGAUAAAUUUCCCUCGACCUUCCUUACCGCCGGGGAAAUAUCCUCUAGCCUAAAAUCCCUCUCCGAAGUGGGGUCCCGUUGUUUUGGAGCUGAACGGAGGAGGCUACGCUUGCAGAGGGGAGCUCUCCACGGCCAAGUCCGAUUUUUUUCGGGAAAAGCGAGUGAUCUCGGCCGCAGCAGCCCGGAGGUCCGAGCCCUGCUCGCUCUCUGUGCUCCGUGCAUACGUACAAAUAUCCGUGUGCGUGUCGUGUGUGUGUGCGGGGACACAUCCAGGCAGAGGAGCCGCAAGCAGAGCCUGGAGAACACGAGCUUUCCCUGGGUUUUGUGAGAGAUAAAACAGGCCUGGUACGAGUGAGAACAAAAGCCAAAAGGACUCGGGAUGGGAUUUCCCAGAAUUUUCCUCUUCUCCCUAAAUGCUGGUAUCACUCUCGCACUCGUGGCCGUUUCUCGUGGGCUCCUCCGGCGCAGCCCCAGCCUCUGCUGGCCCGGCCGCUGCCCCUGAGCUGCAGCCCGGCCUGCCCCGGGAGCACCUCCCGGAGCCCCUCUUUUGAACUUUUCCUACCCAAGGUCUUGACAGGCUGCUCUCGCUGUCCUCUUGGCGUCUACACGGAGAAAAUCUGGCAGGGGCUCCCUUCCCAGCAAUCCCCGAUGUGCUCCAAGCGCUCCGAGAGGCAGCCUCUCUCGGAGGGAGGGGUGCGCUGCCUUCGCAGUCAAAUUACGCCGCUGGCCUCAAAGGCACUGGCUCCGGAUUUUCAAACUAAUGCUCAUCUUUUAAAAGCCGAGCCAAGAAGAAAUUGCGAGGAAGGUCUCAGAUGCGGGGACCUCGGGGCAGAUCUGCUGCAAACUUCAUUAGGCCAGCUGGUGGAAUUAUAUCUGGCACGUGCUCUUUGACACAGUGCAGAAGGACAAACCAGGAGCAGCCCUGAAGGUGUCUUGGCUCUUUCAGAAAAGCAAGAAAAGAGACCAGCUGAUGCUCAGGUACAGAUGUCUUCCUAUCUGCAGGGCACUGAUGCUGUUGUACAGUGUGAUGCAGCUUUCAGAGGAUUACUUUGACACUGCCAAGUUUUACACCCCUAGGGAUUCUCAGUAAAAACGUCCACGGGAAAAGAAAUCCGACGCUAAAAAACGAAGUUUGGAAAUGGCAAAGUUAAAUAAAGCCUUCUUAUGCUCCAGUGCCUGAAGACAUGAUCACAAAUGUAUGUCAAACAGGGAGCAGGGUGGAGCUGGAUGCUCCAAGUGAGUGAGUUAUGGUGGAGUCUCGUCUGAUUCACUCCAAAGGUUGGAUGGCAUGCACUCCACGAGACAUGCGGCUGCACAGCAAACAAUGAGCAUAAAAAUAAAACCUGAACAGCUGCCUCAUUUGCUAAGUGUGUCCAUCUUGUACAUUGAGCAAGCCCAUGUUCCUGUGUGGAGGAAAAAAAAAAACCCCAUCUGAUGGUAUUAGCUAUAUAUAUACACACAUCAAUAUCGGAUGCUUUAUAAGGCUGGGAUAUGUCCUGGACUCCAGACAGAUAUAAGAAGAAAAGACAUCUUAGAGAAUAUUGCAUUUUUGGCAACAUGUGCUGGCUCAAAGGAAUUGUAAAGGAAGUAAAUUAAAUAGUACUAAGAAUGUGUAUAUUUAUAGCACUUUUUUUCCUAUACAAGGAUCCCAAAACACCUCUCAAAAAAAUUAAGCUUCACAACAUUGCUGUGAUCUAAGUAACAAGCAUCAUUUUUUUUUUCCCUAAUGCACGAAGUGAAUCAGAAAAAGACAAAGUAAUUUAACCAGACCAUCGAGAGCAAGAAAGUCAGAAUUUCAGGCUCAGAUUUUAACUCCUAGCCAAACUGUCUUCUGUGAAAACAUACAGGGAAGCUAUUGAUUUUCAUGCUUCCUCACUCUUCUCCAACAAUCCAGCGCAGUGCUCAGGCAUAUGGUUAACUUAAGGCCAUUGACUGUUGGCUUAUGUUUCUGAAAAAAACCUUUUGGCAUGAAGUACACACAGUUUUGAGGGAAAAAAAGAGGUAGGUUUAUAAGAGCAUUGGUCGUUUUACCAACUGUGCCUAGAAUUUCCUGGACGUUAUAAAUGUUCAGCUGAAUCCCCAGUGUCAGAUUGUAUUAAAAGACUGUCCUCAGAAAGGAACAUUCCAAAUUUCCAUGAGCUUCGCCAGUUUCCAAUGAUUUGAUGUUUAUUUGAGCUAUUGUACAAAGUUUUCUGUUGAGUCAGAUCAUUCAGGACUAGCUGCUGGGACCACAGAGUGUCAGCAGAACAUAAUUCAUCUGCGGCUGAUGGCAGCACGGGUUAUUGGAUAGGUAAUGCUUCUUCAGGCAGAGAUACCACCAGGAAAUUUGGUGGGGUUUAUUUCCUGUUAAAACAGAGAUCGAGCAUUCUGUUGCCCCUUUGUUUGCUUGUUGGAUCUCUUUAGGGGGUGGAGAAAUACCUGUAGCAGCUUUCUGGGGUGAAAGAGGCAGGGAGAAGCAGUAUGAUGAUUUUAAAGAAUGUCCCAGGUAUGCUCUUUUCUGUAUCAUCCGUGCUGCCUUGAGCCUUGUGUUGGCUUUUGGUCUUUUUUUUAUCUUUAUGCUUCCCAUACACACACACACACACACACACCUGCUGAACCUCUGCCUUUUCAGUCUAUUCCUAAGGGAAUUCCCUCAGACUGCGUAAAGUACCGAGCUCUUUUUCUUCAUAAUGGAAGAAAUACCUACCAAGAUUAUGCCUUGCUUUUGUGGUAUGAACUACAGUUGAAUAAAACUUCCCCAGCUGCACAGUGAGACCAAGUCUUUGAGCUUACAUGUGCUUUCUGUGAAAACAACUCGCCCAGAAACGUAAAGCAAGAAAUUUUUUUCUUUUUAUUUUCUUUUCUUUCUUUUUUUUUUUUUUUGUGUUUGCUUCUCAAAAGUAGCUGUGCAUGGAGCUCUAAUUAGCUUUUACGUCUGUAGAUGGGACAUCUUGGCUUCAAGAUAGAGCCUGUGUUGACUUAAUUACUUAGAUCUUAAGCUAUGCAAGGCUCUUGGUGCUUGUGUAGUACCUGGCAGUGCUGGAACUGGACCGAAGUUCCCCAGCGAGCCCUCAAUGCAAAUAAUGAAUGAAGCUACAUAAGAGGACUUUGAGUAACUCGUUCUAAACCACGAGAUGUUUGGACUGCAAAUAAAGGAGGAUAUGUGGGAUAUAAUCUGCUGUUGAGCUUUAGCACAAUUCCUGUUAACUCUGAGCCUGACACAGCCAGAACAAUAGCAGGCUAUAGAUUUUGUUUCUGUCCCUGACAUUUACUAAGCACUGCAAGACUAAAACAUUUUGAAGGUUAUAUCCAAUGUCUUGUAGAACGAAUGACAAAUGUCAACCCUUACACUCUUGCAAGAUCUGAGCGGGAAUAAGACAACUCUGUAGACUGAGGCAAGUUUAUUAUUACAAAUACCUUAUUAAAUCUAAAUGGUAAUGGCAUUCCAAUUAGCUCAUUGUUAGGAAUCUUUCAUGUUUGACUUUCAUUUAGACUGAUUACGGGAAUAAUGCAGACCCUGUAUAAGUAAUUGGCACAAAAUAAAAGCGUUUGAGCUGCAGAAACCCUCCUAGAGGCUGUGCUCUUUAAAAAAAAAUAAAUAAAAGCUUCCUAUCUUUCCC